Molecule: ribosomal RNA, 274 nt
Filed under: uncultured bacterium
Lineage: Bacteria
Description: partial 16S ribosomal RNA
Rfam family: Bacterial small subunit ribosomal RNA
Source: RNAcentral
AUACAGAGGGUGCGAGCGUUAAUCGGAAUUACUGGGCGUAAAGCGCGCGUAGGCGGCUACUUAAGUCAGAUGUGAAAUCCCCGGGCUCAACCUGGGAACUGCAUCUGAUACUGGGUAGCUAGAGUUUUGGAGAGGGAAGUAGAAUUUCAGGUGUAGCGGUGAAAUGCAUAGAGAUCUGAAGGAAUACCAGUGGCGAAGGCGACUUCCUGGCCAAAAACUGACGCUGAGGUGCGAAAGCGUGGGUAGCAAACGGGAUUAGAUACCCUGGUAGUCC